AACCACCCAAAACCCAAGUCAGUUGAAGAUCAACACAAACCAAAUAAAGAUGCGCAUUCUACAAACAAUAACAAAAGAUCAAGUUUUGUGUCCAACACACUUGGAUGAGACGUGCCCGACCCCUGACUUUGUCUACCCUACAUUAAGUUGCACACUUCAUGACAGUAAACAUCGGUAUCACAUUGGUGUGAUUGAUCUAUACCCUGGCCUAGAAUAAGCUGUGACACUAUGAGACGGUCACAUAAUGAACAGACAUCUUUACAGACAACCGAAAGAGGCAGAGUAUUGUUUUCUUGUGUAUUGUCAUACACCUAAAGAGGAUUUUUUUAAUCAUACAAUUAUGGUGUUAUUCAUUCAUUAAUGUGUCCUUUCUUACCUUAAAUAACUUAUAAUUUUUCACUACUUUUGUUUGUAAUGUCUAUAUAGUAUUCUCUACAAUCCCAAAUUCUGGAUUGACGCCCCAGUACCAGAGGGCACCCCAAUCCCAGAGAGCAUCAAUCUGAAAGCAGGUGAGGUAACACAACGAAAAAAUAACAGGAUGGAGACUACCUGAUUCUUCACCUAUGGCCUCAGCUUCAAAUGCAAGAAGCAAGAAAUGCUAUAUGACUGUGUAUUUUGCAUUAUGAAUGCAUUAUGGAUACAUCAAAGAUGUUGAUAACAAGUUGAUCUGCGUAAAUUGUGACAUAAAGAAUAUGUAUAUAUAUUUCCAUCUAUCUUUCUAUAACAUUAUU
This is a non-coding RNA of Misgurnus anguillicaudatus (oriental weatherfish), 731 nucleotides long. The record is from RefSeq and is a predicted model, not a curated record. Lineage: Eukaryota; Metazoa; Chordata; Actinopteri; Cypriniformes; Cobitidae.